CCCUCGUGCACCUCUAGAGAGAAGAAAACUAGCGAAUUUGAGGAAAUAAAAUCCUUAAAUCCUAGGAUCCUCUAAGCUCAAACCUUGGAUUUUUUUGUUGUAAAUGCUCGGGAUGGAACAAGGGAUUCAAAGGAGAGGGAGAAUUGGAGGAUUCGAUUGCACUUGCUGGGAUUUGGAGCUCGAGAGAGUGUGUGGGAUGGGGGAGGGGAUUGGGGUAGCUGCACAGAUCAAUGGGUACAUUUCCAUUGAUUGUGGAGUCCCAGGCAAAAUAGCCUCCACACCCAAA
This 286-nucleotide long non-coding RNA is filed under the name Phoenix dactylifera (date palm). Its description in RNAcentral is "long non-coding RNA (PDAC_LNC002247)". The record is from RNAcentral. Lineage: Eukaryota; Viridiplantae; Streptophyta; Magnoliopsida; Arecales; Arecaceae.